Vollenhovia emeryi is the source of this 319-nucleotide long non-coding RNA. RefSeq lists it as uncharacterized. NCBI's taxonomy places the organism in Eukaryota, Metazoa, Arthropoda, Insecta, Hymenoptera, Formicidae. The transcript is spliced from 3 exons. The record is from RefSeq and is a predicted model, not a curated record.
UGAGCUUCAGUGCGACAUAAAUUUUCAAAUAAAACUUGUUAUCACAUGAUAUCUGGCGUUAUCAUAUCUCGUUAAUCAUCAAUGAUGAUAACGUGUAAGUCAUAUUACGCAGUGCAUGUUUUAUAUAAAAGCGUUCGUUCGUUUGCCAGUGUCGGUCAAAAAUUUGCACUAAACUUUACAGUGCACAGCAGGGCGCAUAAGUAAUCAUUAAAAUGUCAUAUAAAUUAAAUCUUACAUUAUCAGCGGUCGGCGUCGUCAUAACAACCGUUUUUUUUCAAGAAACAUUGUCCCUUAGCCGCUCGGUCAAUCUGGCGCAUGC